Molecule: non-coding RNA, 881 nt
Filed under: Pongo abelii (Sumatran orangutan)
Lineage: Eukaryota; Metazoa; Chordata; Mammalia; Primates; Hominidae
Source: RNAcentral
CGUGAUCUCGACUCACUGCAACCUCCGCCUCCUGGGCUCAAGUGAUUCUCGUGCCUCAGCCUCCUGAGUAGCUGGGACUACAGUUGUCCCUUCACGUGGGAUUGCUUCCAGUACCUCUGUGUAUAACAAAAGCUGCACCAUUCAAGUCCCACAGUUGCUCUGCGAAACCUCUGUAUAUGAAAAGUUGGCCCUCCAUGUACAUGGGUUUCCCAUCCUGUUGUCAUUCUUCUUGUUUCGUCUCCUCCUCCUUUCCCUGGAUGAUCUUAUUUCCUCCCUGGUCUUUAACCAUCACCUGCAGGCUGACAGCUCCCAAAUCUCUGUCUUCAAUCCGGAUGUCUGUCCCGGGCUCCAGUUUUGUGGUUCCACCUAUAUGCUCUACAGGUCAUAGAAUUUUCCACACUCCUUGACGGAGGUUCUUAACCCUUAUCCAUCAGCAUUCUCAGACAGCACCUCCGGUUAGGGACAGUAUCUGACCGUCCGACAUCCCUGCAGCCCCCAUGCUGUCACACAGACUCAGCCUCAGGUAGAUGGUUUCCGUAGAUGGUGGCUUUCUUUGGACCCUUGAUAUCAACCAGUUACUAUUUGCUCAGCAAGGCCCACAUUCUCCCGGUGAAGCCACAGAACCACAGGGAGAAAUCCAUGGACUUGGCCUCGCUCUCUAGGGGACCAGAUGUGCAGAGGUAAUGAAUACCAGGGAAUCAGGAAACCACUGGAUCAGUUCUUUGAGCCAUAGAACAACACUCAUCCCAGCAGCUGGGAAGCUAUCUGCAAAAGUCCAUCUGCAGAAAGGGCUUCCUGGUCUUGCGUGUGGCUGGGCCAUUUCUCUGGAUGCAGGUUUUUCAUUAUACAGUCUUCUCAAAGGACCACCUGCUCUCAACACC